This is a long non-coding RNA of Ornithorhynchus anatinus (platypus), 360 nucleotides long. RefSeq lists it as uncharacterized. NCBI's taxonomy places the organism in Eukaryota, Metazoa, Chordata, Mammalia, Monotremata, Ornithorhynchidae. The transcript has 2 exons. The record is from RefSeq and is a predicted model, not a curated record.
CGAAUACCACUGUCAUCAUCCUUAUCCUUAACACCGUGGAGCGUAGCGUAGAGAGCAGAAGGUCAGGAGAUCUUCGAUCCGGCUCGGCAGCCUGACGUCUUCCUGGAGGUGGCUCCAUCCAGCCUGGUCAAUCACAGUAGAUAGAAUCCCCUCAGCCUCCCCUGAACCUCACAGUCGGACUCUGUGGAAAACGUCGACAACGCUUGAAGUAUCUGCUCAUCUAAGGAAUAUGGAACCGGUCCGCUUCCCAAAGAAGGAGCGGCACUGAUGGAGAAGGAAUCAUUCUUGGGCAUGGGUCGGGGGGAGAGGGUAAAGAAAAAGAGUGGAAUCUGGGGAAAAAUACUCAUUUGUUAAACGGUA